Molecule: non-coding RNA, 26 nt
Filed under: Mus musculus (house mouse)
Lineage: Eukaryota; Metazoa; Chordata; Mammalia; Rodentia; Muridae
Source: RNAcentral
UGCCUGGUCCAUGUGAGCUCCACAUC